UACAGAGGUCUCAAGCGUUGUUCGGAUUCAUUGGGCGUAAAGGGUGCGUAGGCGGCGCGGUAAGUCGGGUGUGAAAUCUUGGAGCUUAACUCCGAAACUGCAUUCGACACUGCCGUGCUUGAGGACUGGAGAGGAGACUGGAAUUUACGGUGUAGCGGUGAAAUGCGUAGAUAUCGUAAGGAAGACCAGUGGCGAAGGCGGGUCUCUGGACAGUUCCUGACGCUGAGGCACGAAGGCCAGGGGAGCAGACGGG
RNAcentral lists this ribosomal RNA (253 nucleotides) under uncultured bacterium. RNAcentral describes it as "partial 16S ribosomal RNA". It matches the Rfam family "Bacterial small subunit ribosomal RNA", at positions 524 to 776 of the family's 1533-position model. The record is from RNAcentral.